RNAcentral lists this ribosomal RNA (669 nucleotides) under Escherichia coli. Its description in RNAcentral is "bacterial SSU rRNA". It matches the Rfam family "Bacterial small subunit ribosomal RNA", at positions 51 to 710 of the family's 1533-position model. Lineage: Bacteria; Pseudomonadati; Pseudomonadota; Gammaproteobacteria; Enterobacterales; Enterobacteriaceae. The record is from RNAcentral.
ACACAUGCAGUCGAACGGUAACAGGAARAAGCUUGCUKYUUUGCUGACGAGUGGCGGACGGGUGAGUAAUGUCUGGGAAACUGCCUGAUGGAGGGGGAUAACUACUGGAAACGGUAGCUAAUACCGCAUAACGUCGCAAGACCAAAGAGGGGGACCUUCGGGCCUCUUGCCAUCGGAUGUGCCCAGAUGGGAUUAGCUUGUUGGUGGGGUAACGGCUCACCWAGGCGACGAUCCCUAGCUGGUCUGAGAGGAUGACCAGCCACACUGGAACUGAGACACGGUCCAGACUCCUACGGGAGGCAGCAGUGGGGAAUAUUGCACAAUGGGCGCAAGCCUGAUGCAGCCAUGCCGCGUGUAUGAAGAAGGCCUUCGGGUUGUAAAGUACUUUCAGCGGGGAGGAAGGGAGUAAAGUUAAUACCUUURCUCAUUGACGUUACCCGCAGAAGAAGCACCGGCUAACUCCGUGCCAGCAGCCGCGGUAAUACGGAGGGUGCAAGCGUUAAUCGGAAUUACUGGGCGUAAAGCGCACGCAGGCGGUUUGUUAAGUCAGAUGUGAAAUCCCCGGGCUCAACCUGGGAACUGCAUCUGAUACUGGCAAGCUUGAGUCUCGUAGAGGGGGGUAGAAUUCCAGGUGUAGCGGUGAAAUGCGUAGAGAUCUGGAGGAAUACC